CAUAGCUUUAUGAAAAUAUAAAGUUAUUUCUGCUCAAUGAUUUAAAUAGCCGCAGUACCUUGACUGUGCAAAGGUAGCGUAAUAAUUAGACCUUUAAUUGGGGUCCUGUAUCAAAGAAAAACGGGAGAACUGUCUCUUUUAUAUAAUUUAAAUUUAUUUAUUAGGUGCAAAUACCUAAAAGAAUUGAAAGACGAGAAGACCCUAAGAGUUUUUUAGAAUUUUGUUGGGGCGACAUAUUAACAUAAAACUUAAUAAAAAAGAGUAUAAGACAGGAAUAAAUAAACUACCUUAGGGAUAACAGCAUAAAUUAAGAUUGUGACCUCGAUGUUGGACUAGGGAAUAUAAAUUAGAAAUAUAUAAAGUUCUGUUCGAACCCUACGUGA
RNAcentral lists this ribosomal RNA (383 nucleotides) under Oreohelix subrudis. RNAcentral's name for it is "partial large subunit ribosomal RNA". The record is from RNAcentral. Lineage: Eukaryota; Metazoa; Mollusca; Gastropoda; Stylommatophora; Oreohelicidae.